UCUAGAAUGGCAGACAAAUGCAUAAGGUUUAAACCCUUAUUAUGAGCUAAAUAAUAAAGUUCUUCUAGGA
This 70-nucleotide transfer RNA is filed under the name Plesionika lophotes. RNAcentral describes it as "tRNA-Leu". Lineage: Eukaryota; Metazoa; Arthropoda; Malacostraca; Decapoda; Pandalidae. The record is from RNAcentral.